Molecule: ribosomal RNA, 473 nt
Filed under: uncultured bacterium
Lineage: Bacteria
Description: bacterial SSU rRNA
Rfam family: Bacterial small subunit ribosomal RNA
Source: RNAcentral
ACUACGCACUCCUACGGGGAGGCAGCAGUGGGGAAUAUUGCACAAUAGGCGCAAGCCUGAUGCAGCCAUGCCGCGUGUGUGAAGAAGGCCUUCGGGUUGUAAAGCACUUUCAGUUGUGAGGAAGGUGGUGUCGUUAAUAGCGGCAUCAUUUGACGUUAGCAACAGAAGAAGCACCGGCUAACUCCGUGCCAGCAGCCGCGGUAAUACGGAGGGUGCGAGCGUUAAUCGGAAUUACUGGGCGUAAAGCGCAUGCAGGUGGUUUGUUAAGUCAGAUGUGAAAGCCCGGGGCUCAACCUCGGAACUGCAUUUGAAACUGGCAGACUAGAGUACUGUAGAGGGGGUAGAAUUUCAGGUGUAGCGGUGAAAUGCGUAGAGAUCUGAAGGAAUACCGGUGGCGAAGGCGGCCCCCUGGACAGAUACUGACACUCAGAUGCGAAAGCGUGGGGAGCAAACAGGAUUAGAUACCCUGGUAG